RNAcentral lists this ribosomal RNA (693 nucleotides) under Acinetobacter sp. GA67. RNAcentral describes it as "bacterial SSU rRNA". It matches the Rfam family "Bacterial small subunit ribosomal RNA", at positions 140 to 828 of the family's 1533-position model. The record is from RNAcentral. Lineage: Bacteria; Pseudomonadati; Pseudomonadota; Gammaproteobacteria; Moraxellales; Moraxellaceae.
GGGACAACGUUCCGAAAGGAAUGCUAAUACCGCAUACGUCCUACGGGGGAAAGCAGGGGAUCUUCGGACCUUGCGCUAAUAGAUGAGCCUAAGUCGGAUUAGCUAGUUGGUGGGGUAAAGGCCUACCAAGGCGACGAUCUGUAGCGGGUCUGAGAGGAUGAUCCGCCACACUGGGACUGAGACACGGCCCAGACUCCUACGGGAGGCAGCAGUGGGGAAUAUUGGACAAUGGGCGGAAGCCUGAUCCAGCCAUGCCGCGUGUGUGAAGAAGGCCUUUUGGUUGUAAAGCACUUUAAGCGAGGAGGAGGCUCCUUUAGUUAAUACCUAAAGUGAGUGGACGUUACUCGCAGAAUAAGCACCGGCUAACUCUGUGCCAGCAGCCGCGGUAAUACAGAGGGUGCGAGCGUUAAUCGGAUUUACUGGGCGUAAAGCGUGCGUAGGCGGCUUUUUAAGUCGGAUGUGAAAUCCCUGAGCUUAACUUAGGAAUUGCAUUCGAUACUGGAAAGCUAGAGUAUGGGAGAGGAUGGUAGAAUUCCAGGUGUAGCGGUGAAAUGCGUAGAGAUCUGGAGGAAUACCGAUGGCGAAGGCAGCCAUCUGGCCUAAUACUGACGCUGAGGUACGAAAGCAUGGGGAGCAAACAGGAUUAGAUACCUGGUAGUCCAUGCCGUAAACGAUGUCUACUAGCCGUUGGGG